Chitinophaga pinensis DSM 2588 is the source of this 73-nucleotide non-coding RNA. Lineage: Bacteria; Pseudomonadati; Bacteroidota; Chitinophagia; Chitinophagales; Chitinophagaceae. The record is from Rfam.
GAAGGGAUAGCUCAAUUGGAAGAGCGCCGCCCCGGCACGUCGGAGAAUGCAGGUUCGAAGCCUGCUCCCUUCG